RNAcentral lists this ribosomal RNA (253 nucleotides) under uncultured bacterium. RNAcentral describes it as "partial 16S ribosomal RNA". It matches the Rfam family "Bacterial small subunit ribosomal RNA", at positions 524 to 776 of the family's 1533-position model. The record is from RNAcentral.
UACGUAGAGUGCAAGCGUUAAUCGGAAUUACUGGGCGUAAAGCGUGCGCAGGCGGUUUUGUAAGUCAGAUGUGAAAUCCCCGGGCUUAACCUGGGAACUGCGUUUGAAACUACAAGGCUAGAGUGUGGCAGAGGGGGGUGGAAUUCCACGUGUAGCAGUGAAAUGCGUAGAGAUGUGGAGGAACACCGAUGGCGAAGGCAGCCCCCUGGGUUAACACUGACGCUCAGGCACGAAAGCGUGGGGAGCAAACAGG